Molecule: ribosomal RNA, 253 nt
Filed under: uncultured bacterium
Lineage: Bacteria
Description: partial 16S ribosomal RNA
Rfam family: Bacterial small subunit ribosomal RNA
Source: RNAcentral
AACGUAGGAGACAACCGUUAUCCGGAGUUACUGGGCGUAAAGGGCGUGUAGGUGGUUGUGUAAGUCUGUCGUGAAAUUUUUCGGCUUAACCGGGAAAGGUCGUCGGAUACUGCAGAACUAGAGGACGGUAGAGGCGUGUGGAAUUCCGGGUGUAGUGGUGAAAUGCGUAGAGAUCCGGAGGAACACCAGUGGCGAAGGCGACACGCUGGGCCGUACCUGACACUGAUGCGCGACAGCAUGGGGAGCAAACAGG